This is a long non-coding RNA of Neopsephotus bourkii (Bourke's parrot), 1299 nucleotides long. RefSeq lists it as uncharacterized. NCBI's taxonomy places the organism in Eukaryota, Metazoa, Chordata, Aves, Psittaciformes, Psittacidae. The transcript is spliced from 2 exons. The record is from RefSeq and is a predicted model, not a curated record.
UCUAGAAACAGAAAACAGGAUUAUAACCAGUGGCUGGAUGUUAAUAGUAUACAAAUUCAGGCUAAAAUUCACAAUCAAUUCUUUAUGAGUCAUCCAAAUUAACUGGAACAUCCCAUCUUGAGACACAGCAGUUUCUUUGCCAUUUUGAAUCUUUAAGACUGGAUGUCCAUAAAAGCAAAACUGUACAACACAAAGAUCCAGAGGAUUUCAUCAAGAAAUUGCAGGGUUGAGUACUGUAAUCUGCAUUAAUACAGAUCAGAUACAUGACUGCAAUAAUGAUCCCUCUAGACUUCAAAAUAAAUUUGACUGGUGAAGGAAAAGGAUGCUAUACACAGCAUUUUCAGUGCCUUUAAUUAUUUGCAGGUGGAGGAACUCCAGUUUUUUUGGUACUAUUGUUUUUUCUAAUUGCACCCUCUUGACAUCUUAAGGAGGACAGGCACAGCAGGGGAUCUAAAGUCUGCAAGGAAUCAGCCUCCUGCCUCUCUAAUACACAUGAAUUUGGCAAGAGUGCAGUACUGCAUGCAGUAGAGAUUCCAACAGUUCAGCUCUGCUGACCUUACCUCAGAGAGAGUCAAACUGAAAUGCGGGUUACACUUCUCCCCAAGGACUCUGACCUUGAUAUUACUUUCAUUUUUUCUGUCUUUGUAGCUUUUUUCAAAGAAGUCAAGAAAUCAAAAAUGAUUUGAUUGCACCUAAAAGAGCUGGUCAGAUGUAGAAUGGAACUGCUCAGUGUCCAUACAAAGGAAUGUCUUGCCAUCUCCAAUGAACAAGUAACUUCAGUUAUGAGCUGCAAUAGCACAUGAACCUUUAGAACAUAUCAGACAUCAAUAGCAGAGAAAACAAAAUGAAAUCCACAGUCUGAUUUACCCUGUAUGAAACUGUCACACAUUCAUUAAAGGACAACCUGACCUGAAACUGACCUUGACAUUUAUAAACUCAGCUGAACUCAUGAGGUAAGAGAGGAAAGUUAAAUCUCUGUUGAUCACAUAUCAAGAGGAAAACAGAGCACGUUCUCAGACUACAUAUGGCAAUACUGACAGCAGGACUCAAGUUAAAAAUGCCUUUUACUAUUUGGAGUAUGAUAUGAAAGACUAUGCUUUCCAAACCAGUUAUAUUUUACAGAUAAGGUACUCUAGAAUACAUGAAGGAUUUGUUACAUUUUACAUAAGUAUUACCUUGCAUCUUGUUCUGUAUAAACUAACUUAGUAUGUUUCUGAUUAGUGAAAGUGGUCAUAAACACGUUCUGGCAUUUAAGGUUCUUCUGACUUGUGUAAUACAGAACAUCAUUUGCAGCCCAUU